RNAcentral lists this ribosomal RNA (425 nucleotides) under uncultured bacterium. Its description in RNAcentral is "partial 16S ribosomal RNA". It matches the Rfam family "Bacterial small subunit ribosomal RNA", at positions 354 to 796 of the family's 1533-position model. The record is from RNAcentral.
GUGGGGAAUCUUGCGCAAUGGGCGAAAGCCUGACGCAGCCAUGCCGCGUGAAUGAUGAAGGUCUUAGGAUUGUAAAAUUCUUUCACCGGGGACGAUAAUGACGGUACCCGGAGAAGAAGCUCCGGCUAACUUCGUGCCAGCAGCCGCGGUAAUACGAAGGGGGCUAGCGUUGCUCGGAAUUACUGGGCGUAAAGGGCGCGUAGGCGGACAGCUUAGUCAGAGGUGAAAGCCCAGGGCUCAACCUUGGAAUUGCCUUUGAUACUGGCUGUCUUGAGUACGGGAGAGGUGAGUGGAACUCCGAGUGUAGAGGUGAAAUUCGUAGAUAUUCGGAGGAACACCAGUGGCGAAGGCGGCUCACUGGACCAGAAUUGACGCUGAGGUGCGAAAGCGUGGGGAGCAAACAGGAUUAGAAACCCGGGUAGUCC